This 780-nucleotide ribosomal RNA is filed under the name Escherichia coli. Its description in RNAcentral is "partial 23S ribosomal RNA". It matches the Rfam family "Bacterial large subunit ribosomal RNA", at positions 2163 to 2925 of the family's 2925-position model. Lineage: Bacteria; Pseudomonadati; Pseudomonadota; Gammaproteobacteria; Enterobacterales; Enterobacteriaceae. The record is from RNAcentral.
UGUGGACGCCAGUCUGCAUGGAGCCGACCUUGAAAUACCACCCUUUAAUGUUUGAUGUUCUAACGUGGACCCGUAAUCCGGGUUGCGGACAGUGUCUGGUGGGUAGUUUGACUGGGGCGGUCUCCUCCUAAAGAGUAACGGAGGAGCACGAAGGUUGGCUAAUCCUGGUCGGACAUCAGGAGGUUAGUGCAAUGGCAUAAGCCAGCUUGACUGCGAGCGUGACGGCGCGAGCAGGUGCGAAAGCAGGUCAUAGUGAUCCGGUGGUUCUGAAUGGAAGGGCCAUCGCUCAACGGAUAAAAGGUACUCCGGGGAUAACAGGCUGAUACCGCCCAAGAGUUCAUAUCGACGGCGGUGUUUGGCACCUCGAUGUCGGCUCAUCACAUCCUGGGGCUGAAGUAGGUCCCAAGGGUAUGGCUGUUCGCCAUUUAAAGUGGUACGCGAGCUGGGUUUAGAACGUCGUGAGACAGUUCGGUCCCUAUCUGCCGUGGGCGCUGGAGAAUUGAGGGGGGCUGCUCCUAGUACGAGAGGACCGGAGUGGACGCAUCACUGGUGUUCGGGUUGUCAUGCCAAUGGCACUGCCCGGUAGCUAAAUGCGGAAGAGAUAAGUGCUGAAAGCAUCUAAGCACGAAACUUGCCCCGAGAUGAGUUCUCCCUGACUCCUUGAGAGUCCUGAAGGAACGUUGAAGACGACGACGUUGAUAGGCCGGGUGUGUAAGCGCAGCGAUGCGUUGAGCUAACCGGUACUAAUGAACCGUGAGGCUUAACCUUACAACGCCGAAG